AGUGAACGCUGGCGGUAGGCCUAACACAUGCAAGUCGAACGGCAGCACAGUAAGAGCUUGCUCUUACGGGUGGCGAGUGGCGGACGGGUGAGGAAUACAUCGGAAUCUACUUUUUCGUGGGGGAUAACGUAGGGAAACUUACGCUAAUACCGCAUAGGACCUACGGGUGAAAGCGGGGGAUCUUCGGACCUUGCGCGAUUGAAUGAGCCGAUGUCGGAUUAGCUAGUUGGCGGGGUAAAGGCCCACCAAGGUGACGAUCCGUAGCUGGUCUGAGAGGAUGAUCAGCCACACUGGAACUGAGACACGGUCCAGACUCCUACGGGAGGCAGCAGUGGGGAAUAUUGGACAAUGGGCGCAAGCCUGAUCCAGCCAUACCGCGUGGGUGAAGAAGGCCUUCGGGUUGUAAAGCCCUUUUGUUGGGAAAGAAAAGCAGCAGGUUAAUACCCCGCUGUUCUGACGGUACCCAAAGAAUAAGCACCGGCUAACUUCGUG
This 492-nucleotide ribosomal RNA is filed under the name uncultured bacterium. Its description in RNAcentral is "partial 16S ribosomal RNA". It matches the Rfam family "Bacterial small subunit ribosomal RNA", at positions 29 to 507 of the family's 1533-position model. The record is from RNAcentral.